UUGAGUGAAAUCACAAAGACGCGUGAGAUCGACCAUGAAUUUCGAAAAAGGAUCGAAAACGACAAGGUGUUUACCUGUGAAAAACACUUCGACGUAGAAGAUUUCGAAAUAUUUCAAACGGCGAAAAUGACGCAGAAGAAACCACAAUUCGGCCCCAUCCCAGCCUUAAACAAGCCAAGGAAAAGUCACGAGUCUGCAAGGCCUACACAAAGACCUGCUAGAUCGGUUGUCAAGGAGCACGAUCAACAACCCAAGGCAUGUUACAAGUCAUUUUGCUGCUCACGGCUCUGACGAACGAGGAGAGAUUUUUCUUUUACCCGAGAGUGCAAACAGGUGUGUUCUUCCUCGAGAAGAAAGCUACCUUUUGACAAUGAGGGAAAUUUCACAAAUUCAGCUGCGAGAAAAACUGGUGGUUCUAAGCCGUUAUCACAGCGCUCGUGGAGAGAUUAAAACCGAGGGAGUUAUUGGAAUCGCUCGAGCGUUUCUUGGACCCAGUGCUCGCUCAGUGCUAGCGGCACGUUGGGCCCUUGAGGACAAAGCCAUAGAGCAGUUCAUGAUCCGCCUCUACGAUUAUUUGUACCGCGGGGAAAGUGUCAGUGAAUCGCUCCAUAGGACCCGGAAGUGGAUGAGAAACAACGGCUUUGUCAAAGUCACUCAAUGGUCUCCGUUUCUACUGAUUGGCGACAACGUGACAUUUGACUUUAGAAAUUGGCCUGUGUCGUCUGCACAGCCUGAGAGCCAAGUGUAAAGUAGUACACUUCAUUCAAAUGCGUUGGAUUUACAAUGCCGGUAAAUGCCAGUUGGUUUUAUGUAGUAGGAGGACACCGUCUGUAAACGACAAGAUUGAUACCCACAGAAAAACAUUUCUAAGAAAAGGAAUCAUCGACAUCUAUGUCUAAUGAUCUAGAAAAGGACAGUUCAUAAUGAACUUUUAAAAAACUUUGAGUGACCUUCUUUUCCGGCGAAAGUUGUUAGUAGUCAUGCGAAGUAGAUUUUCGAUUUUUUCGAAAGCGAUUGGUCACUGAAGCCAAAUUAAUUUCAUGUAAUUUUUAUAAUGAAGUUAAAGAAAGUAAAUUCCAAAUAUUUUCCAGUUUUUCAAGCAACUCUCCAUUUUUUCUUAUGUGUAUAUUCCGGAAGGUCUCUUUAGUUUAAGAUUACGCGAGCUUUCUUGUAAAAAAACUACUUAGAACCUUAGUACUUAACAAGCUUCAGUGACCUUUUCCGGCGAAAGUUGUUUGGUUAAGUAGUCAGGCGAAGUAGAUUUUGUUCAAUUUUUUCCGAAAGUGAUUGGCUACUGAAGCCAAAUCAAUUUCAAGUGAUUUUGAUAAUGAAACCAAGAAAAUUUCAAAUAUUAUUCCAGUUUUUUCAAGCAACUCUCCAUUUUUUCUAAUGUGUGUAUAUUCCGAAAGGUGUCUUUAGGCUAAAUUUACUCGAACUUUCAAGCAAAUCAUCCAUAAUCACUUGUGUGAUGAAAAUACAUUUACUAGCCGUGGAAUGUAGCUAUUAAGGUUUUCAUUGUGCUUUUUUUAUAUUUUUUUGCAAGGAAAUGAUUAAUAAUCUUACAGAAACUUUCAAAGUGCGCUAACCACUUCACAUGUUAGGGGAUGUUACUAAACUAUGGAUCAGCAGAUCGGAGUCAGCGAAACUUGUGGAACCAGCGAAACCAAGGGAACCUGUGAAACCAUUAAUUUUUUUCAUGGAAAAAAUAAUGAAAUAAAGCUGAAAAUACCUUAA
Stylophora pistillata is the source of this 1734-nucleotide long non-coding RNA. The record is from RefSeq and is a predicted model, not a curated record. Lineage: Eukaryota; Metazoa; Cnidaria; Anthozoa; Scleractinia; Pocilloporidae.